UUAAGCGACUAAGCGUACACGGUGGAUGCCCUGGCAGUCAGAGGCGAUGAAGGACGUGCUAAUCUGCGAAAAGCGUCGGUAAGGUGAUAUGAACCGUUACAGCCGGCGAUGUCCGAAUGGGGAAACCCAGUGUGAUUCGUCACACUAUCGUUAACUGAAUACAUAGGUUAACGAGGCGAACCGGGGGAACUGAAACAUCUAAGUACCCCGAGGAAAAGAAAUCAACCGAGAUUCCCCCAGUAGCGGCGAGCGAACGGGGAGCAGCCCAGAGUCUGAAUCAGCUUGUGUGUUAGUGGAACGGUCUGGAAAGUCCGACGGUACAGGGUGAUAGUCCCGUACACCAAAAUGCACAGGCUGUGAACUCGAAGAGUAGGGCGGGACACGUGGUAUCCUGUCUGAAUAUGGGGGGACCAUCCUCCAAGGCUAAAUACUCCUGACUGACCGAUAGUGAACCAGUACCGUGAGGGAAAGGCGAAAAGAACCCCGGCGAGGGGAGUGAAAAAGAACCUGAAACCGUGUACGUACAAGCAGUGGGAGCACCUUCGGGUGUGACUGCGUACCUUUUGUAUAAUGGGUCAGCGACUUAUAUUCUGUAGCAAGGUUAACCGUAUAGGGGAGCCGCAGGGAAACCGAGUCUUAACUGGGCGUUAAGUUGCAGGGUAUAGACCCGAAACCCGGUGAUCUAGCCAUGGGCAGGUUGAAGGUUGGGUAACACUAACUGGAGGACCGAACCGACUAAUGUUGAAAAAUUAGCGGAUGACUUGUGGCUGGGGGUGAAAGGCCAAUCAAACCGGGAGAUAGCUGGUUCUCCCCGAAAGCUAUUUAGGUAGCGCCUCGUGAACUCAUCUUCGGGGGUAGAGCACUGUUUCGGCUAGGGGGUCAUCCCGACUUACCAACCCGAUGCAAACUACGAAUACCGAAGAAUGUUAUCACGGGAGACACACGGCGGGUGCUAACGUCCGUCGUGAAGAGGGAAACAACCCAGACCGCCAGCUAAGGUCCCAAAGUCAUGGUUAAGUGGGAAACGAUGUGGGAAGGCACAGACAGCCAGGAUGUUGGCUUAGAAGCAGCCAUCAUUUAAAGAAAGCGUAAUAGCUCACUGGUCGAGUCGGCCUGCGCGGAAGAUGUAACGGGGCUAAACCAUGCACCGAAGCUGCGGCAGCGACACUAUGUGUUGUUGGGUAGGGGAGCGUUCUGUAAGCCUGCGAAGGUGACCUGUGAGGGUUGCUGGAGGUAUCAGAAGUGCGAAUGCUGACAUAAGUAACGAUAAAGCGGGUGAAAAGCCCGCUCGCCGGAAGACCAAGGGUUCCUGUCCAACGUUAAUCGGGGCAGGGUGAGUCGACCCCUAAGGCGAGGCCGAAAGGCGUAGUCGAUGGGAAACAGGUUAAUAUUCCUGUACUUGGUGUUACUGCGAAGGGGGGACGGAGAAGGCUAUGUUAGCCGGGCGACGGUUGUCCCGGUUUAAGCAUGUAGGCUGGUUAUCCAGGCAAAUCCGGAUAAUCAAGGCUGAGGUGUGAUGACGAGGCACUACGGUGCUGAAGUAACAAAUGCCCUGCUUCCAGGAAAAGCCUCUAAGCAUCAGGUAACAUCAAAUCGUACCCCAAACCGACACAGGUGGUCAGGUAGAGAAUACCAAGGCGCUUGAGAGAACUCGGGUGAAGGAACUAGGCAAAAUGGUGCCGUAACUUCGGGAGAAGGCACGCUGGUGUGUAGGUGAAGUCCCUGCGGAUGGAGCUGAGACCAGUCGAAGAUACCAGCUGGCUGCAACUGUUUAUUAAAAACACAGCACUGUGCAAACACGAAAGUGGACGUAUACGGUGUGACGCCUGCCCGGUGCCGGAAGGUUAAUUGAUGGGGUUAUCCGUAAGGAGAAGCUCUUGAUCGAAGCCCCGGUAAACGGCGGCCGUAACUAUAACGGUCCUAAGGUAGCGAAAUUCCUUGUCGGGUAAGUUCCGACCUGCACGAAUGGCGUAAUGAUGGCCAGGCUGUCUCCACCCGAGACUCAGUGAAAUUGAACUCGCUGUGAAGAUGCAGUGUACCCGCGGCAAGACGGAAAGACCCCGUGAACCUUUACUAUAGCUUGACACUGAACAUUGAGCCUUGAUGUGUAGGAUAGGUGGGAGGCUUUGAAGCGUGGACGCCAGUCUGCGUGGAGCCAACCUUGAAAUACCACCCUUUAAUGUUUGAUGUUCUAACGUUGGCCCCUUAUCGGGGUUGCGGACAGUGUCUGGUGGGUAGUUUGACUGGGGCGGUCUCCUCCCAAAGCGUAACGGAGGAGCACGAAGGUUAGCUAAUCCUGGUCGGACAUCAGGAGGUUAGUGCAAUGGCAUAAGCUAGCUUGACUGCGAGCGUGACGGCGCGAGCAGGUGCGAAAGCAGGUCAUAGUGAUCCGGUGGUUCUGAAUGGAAGGGCCAUCGCUCAACGGAUAAAAGGUACUCCGGGGAUAACAGGCUGAUACCGCCCAAGAGUUCAUAUCGACGGCGGUGUUUGGCACCUCGAUGUCGGCUCAUCACAUCCUGGGGCUGAAGUAGGUCCCAAGGGUAUGGCUGUUCGCCAUUUAAAGUGGUACGCGAGCUGGGUUUAGAACGUCGUGAGACAGUUCGGUCCCUAUCUGCCGUGGGCGCUGGAGAAUUGAGGGGGGCUGCUCCUAGUACGAGAGGACCGGAGUGGACGCAUCACUGGUGUUCGGGUUGUCAUGCCAAUGGCACUGCCCGGUAGCUAAAUGCGGAAGAGAUAAGUGCUGAAAGCAUCUAAGCACGAAACUUGCCCCGAGAUGAGUUCUCCCUGAGACUUUAAGUCUCCUGAAGGAACGUUAAAGACGAUGACGUUGAUAGGCCGGGUGUGUAAGCGCAGCGAUGCGUUGAGCUAACCGGUACUAAUGAACCGUGAGGCUUAACCU
RNAcentral lists this ribosomal RNA (2899 nucleotides) under Klebsiella quasipneumoniae subsp. similipneumoniae. RNAcentral's name for it is "23S ribosomal RNA". It matches the Rfam family "Bacterial large subunit ribosomal RNA". Lineage: Bacteria; Pseudomonadati; Pseudomonadota; Gammaproteobacteria; Enterobacterales; Enterobacteriaceae. The record is from RNAcentral.